This 64-nucleotide transfer RNA is filed under the name Brachionus calyciflorus. RNAcentral describes it as "tRNA-Asp". The record is from RNAcentral. Lineage: Eukaryota; Metazoa; Rotifera; Eurotatoria; Ploima; Brachionidae.
GUUCUUAUAGUAUAAUUUAAUAUUUUAGUUUGUCGUACUAAUGAUCUCUCAUAGAGUAAGAAUU